This 253-nucleotide ribosomal RNA is filed under the name uncultured bacterium. Its description in RNAcentral is "partial 16S ribosomal RNA". It matches the Rfam family "Bacterial small subunit ribosomal RNA", at positions 524 to 776 of the family's 1533-position model. The record is from RNAcentral.
UACGGGGGGGGCAAGCGUUGUUCGGAAUUACUGGGCGUAAAGGGCUUGUAGGGGGCCAACUCAGUCAGACGUGAAAUCCCUCGGCUUAACCGGGGAACUGCGUCUGAUACUGGAUGGCUGGAGUGUGGGAGAGGGAUGCGGAAUUCCAGGUGUAGCGGUGAAAUGCGUAGAUAUCUGGAGGAACACCGGUGGCGAAGGCGGCAUCCUGGACCAUUACUGACACUGAAAAGCGAAAGCCAGGGGAGCAAACGGG